GGCGUCGGCCUGUGGGCUCCCCAUUCGACC
RNAcentral lists this small nuclear RNA (30 nucleotides) under Arabidopsis thaliana (thale cress). RNAcentral's name for it is "snRNA_00468". The record is from RNAcentral. Lineage: Eukaryota; Viridiplantae; Streptophyta; Magnoliopsida; Brassicales; Brassicaceae.